This 301-nucleotide ribosomal RNA is filed under the name uncultured bacterium. RNAcentral describes it as "partial 16S ribosomal RNA". It matches the Rfam family "Bacterial small subunit ribosomal RNA", at positions 509 to 807 of the family's 1533-position model. The record is from RNAcentral.
CAGCAGCCGCGGCAAUACGAAGGGGGCUAGCGUUGUUCGGAUUUACUGGGCGUAAAGGGCGCGUAGGCGGACUGAUAAGUCAGGGGUGAAAUCCCAAGGCUCAACCUUGGAACUGCCUUUGAUACUGUUUGUCUUGAGUUCGAGAGAGGUAAGUGGAACUGCGAGUGUAGAGGUGAAAUUCGUAGAUAUUCGCAAGAACACCAGUGGCGAAGGCGGCUUACUGGCUCGAAACUGACGCUGAGGCGCGAAAGCGUGGGGAGCAAACAGGAUUAGAUACCCGUGUAGUCCCUGUCUCUUAUAC